This 296-nucleotide unclassified non-coding RNA is filed under the name uncultured Ascomycota. RNAcentral describes it as "sequence contains ITS1". The stretch from base 1 to 105 matches the Rfam family "5.8S ribosomal RNA", at positions 50 to 154 of the family's 154-position model. Lineage: Eukaryota; Fungi; Ascomycota. The record is from RNAcentral.
GAAAUGCGAUAAGUAAUGUGAAUUGCAGAAUUCAGUGAAUCAUCGAAUCUUUGAACGCACAUUGCGCCCCCUGGCAUUCCGGGGGGCAUGCCUGUUCGAGCGUCAUUUCAACCCUCAAGCCCUGCUUGGUAUUGGGCCUGCGCCGGCAUGCCGGCGGGCCUCAAGAUCAGUGGCGGUGCCGCCCGGCUCCAAGCGCAGUAACGCAUCUCGCUUCUGGACGCCCGGGCGGCUGCCAGCCAGCAAACCCAUCUUCUCAGGUUGACCUCGGAUCAGGUAGGGAUACCCGCUGAACUUAA